GGCUAAUACCGCAUACGUCCUACGGGAGAAAGGGGGCUCCGGCUCCCGCUAUUGGAUGAGCCUAUGUCGGAUUAGCUAGUUGGUGAGGUAAAGGCUCACCAAGGCAACGAUCCGUAGCUGGUCUGAGAGGAUGAUCAGCCACAUCGGGACUGAGACACGGCCCGAACUCCUACGGGAGGCAGCAGUGGGGAAUAUUGGACAAUGGGGGCAACCCUGAUCCAGCCAUGCCGCGUAUGUGAAGAAGGCCUUCGGGUUGUAAAGCACUUUCAGCGAGGAAGAACGCCUAGUGGUUAAUACCCAYUAGGAAAGACAUCACUCGCAGAAGAAGCACCGGCUAACUCCGUGCCAGCAGCCGCGGUAAUACGGAGGGUGCAAGCGUUAAUCGGAAUUACUGGGCGUAAAGCGCGCGUAGGUGGCUUGAUAAGCCGGUUGUGAAAGCCCCGGGCUCAACCUGGGAACGGCAUCCGGAACUGUCAAGCUAGAGUGCAGGAGAGGAAGGUAGAAUUCCCGGUGUAGCGGUGAAAUGCGUAGAGAUCGGGAGGAAUACCAGUGGCGAAGGCGGCCUUCUGGACUGACACUGACACUGAGGUGCGAAAGCGUGGGUAGCAAACAGGAUUAGAUACCCUGGUAGUCCACGCCGUAAACGAUGUCGACCAGCCGUUGGGUGCCUAGCGCACUUUGUGGCGAAGUUAACGCGAUAAGUCGACCGCCUGGGGAGUACGGCCGCAAGGUUAAAACUCAAAUGAAUUGACGGGGGCCCGCACAAGCGGUGGAGCAUGUGGUUUAAUUCGAUGCAACGCGAAGAACCUUACCUACUCUUGACAUCCUGCGAACUUGUGAGAGAUCACUUGGUGCCUUCGGGAACGCAGAGACAGGUGCUGCAUGGCUGUCGUCAGCUCGUGUUGUGAAAUGUUGGGUUAAGUCCCGUAACGAGCGCAACCCUUGUCCUUAUUUGCCAGCACGUAAUGGUGGGAACUCUAAGGAGACUGCCGGUGACAAACCGGAGGAAGGUGGGGACGACGUCAAGUCAUCAUGGCCCUUACGAGUAGGGCUACACACGUGCUACAAUGGCCGGUACAAAGGGUUGCCAACUCGCGAGAGUGAGCUAAUCCCGAAAAGCCGGUCUCAGUCCGGAUCGGAGUCUGCAACUCGACUCCGUGAAGUCGGAAUCGCUAGUAAUCGUGAAUCAGAAUGUCACGGUGAAUACGUUCCCGGGCCUUGUACACACC
Molecule: ribosomal RNA, 1229 nt
Filed under: Halomonas sp.
Lineage: Bacteria; Pseudomonadati; Pseudomonadota; Gammaproteobacteria; Oceanospirillales; Halomonadaceae
Description: bacterial SSU rRNA
Source: RNAcentral